UACAGAGGUCCCAAGCGUUGUUCGGAUUUACUGGGCGUAAAGGGUGCGUAGGUGGUCGGGUAAGUCUCAUGUGAAAUCCCGCAGCUCAACUGCGGAAGGGCAUGGGAUACUAUUCGGCUCGAGGAUUGGAGGGGGGACUGGAAUUCCCGGUGUAGCAGUGAAAUGCGUAGAUAUCGGGAGGAACACCAGUGGCGAAGGCGAGUCCCUGGACAAUUCCUGACGCUGAGGCACGAAAGCCAGGGGAGCAAACAGG
Molecule: ribosomal RNA, 253 nt
Filed under: uncultured prokaryote
Description: partial 16S ribosomal RNA
Rfam family: Bacterial small subunit ribosomal RNA
Source: RNAcentral